RNAcentral lists this transfer RNA (92 nucleotides) under Daldinia sp. FL1419. RNAcentral describes it as "tRNA-Tyr". It matches the Rfam family "tRNA". Rfam says of the family: Transfer RNA (tRNA) molecules are approximately 80 nucleotides in length. Their secondary structure includes four short double-helical elements and three loops (D, anti-codon, and T loops). The record is from RNAcentral. Lineage: Eukaryota; Fungi; Ascomycota; Sordariomycetes; Xylariales; Hypoxylaceae.
CCCUUGGUAGUCUAGUUGGUUAUGGCGUUCGGCUGUAAUUGUAAAGCAUGAUUGUUACCGAAAAGUCACCGGUUCGAUUCCGGUCCGAGGGA